Molecule: long non-coding RNA, 30656 nt
Filed under: Musa acuminata (dwarf banana)
Lineage: Eukaryota; Viridiplantae; Streptophyta; Magnoliopsida; Zingiberales; Musaceae
Description: long non-coding RNA (MACU_LNC003452)
Source: RNAcentral
GUAACUGGCCCCAAAUAGUUGGGACAUUAUGGUCUUGUUGUAGUAGUUGUUGUUGUAUUAUGGAAGUUAAGAAUGACAUGCAAGUGUGUCCUUGUCAUCAUAUGCCCCACCAACAUGUCAGAUCCAUGGAACAGAUUAUUGUUCGAGCAUAAAGCCUAUGCCAACUAGUGCAGGACGCUUGCUGAUUCAUUCUAAUCAACAUGGAACUGUCACCUUUCCAGUACAAAAAUACAACAUCAACAAAAGACUAAAAGUUUAUUUUGAUAACAUGUUUCCUUAAAUUUACUCAGUCCAAAUAUGAAAUACUUGUAUUACAAUGAUUCCAGAUUAGUAUCAUGACCUAAGACCAAUUCUUGUAAACUUAGUCAUAAGGUUGGAGCACUCAGAAAUUGCUUUUUGUUAGAAAAGUUAUAUGCUAUCCACAACAUCCUUCACAUGUCAUGUGAGACUCAUUGGCGGUAUCAAAAUCUACUCUAGUAAAAUCCCAGAGGUCCUCAUUAGUGUUGACAUGUAUAGCCUAAACCUACUUCUUCCUAGCAGGACAUGAUUCCCUAUAUCAUCCCACUGAGUCCUUUCCAUCUGAACUUUAGCCUAAAAAAGAACUAAAAUUUUGAACUUGGUCAUAGUUUGUGAGCUUCUAGGUCUAUAACAUGAAAAUUGUAGUGAUUUAUAAUUUUAUAUACCAUCUCAAAUCAUAGCCAGCAUUCGAUGUAUGAUUGUUUGGAGAUAUCAUAAUAUCACAAUAUCCCCUACUCAAAUUCUGUACAUCGUUGUUAGCAUGACAGUGCCAUAGUUAUCAGAAGUGGAGAAAAAAAGCAGAUGUGACCACGAAAAGAAGUAAACACUUGAUCAGUCUGAUUCUACUUUUAAAUGAGAUUUUGUUGCAAUGGCUUAAAUCUGCCGAACCAAUUGAUUUUUUCUUAAACUGAGAGAAACAAAUGUGUCAGAUGAUUGCAACCAGUUCACCAAGCCCAACUUUACAAAAUUUUUCUUGACACACUCAAUAAUCCAACUGUUCAUCUCUAAAUUGUGUUUUUAUGGAUGCCCUUUCCAAUACCAUUACCAUUAAGGGAGAGUAAGACGAGGGAUUUUCACACACUGUUGACACCACCCACUUGGACUGUCCGUCAUGGAUACCCUGCUUAGGCCCCACCUUUGGUAAGACCCUGCAAGCCCACAGUCACUGAAAGAGAGAUAAGAAAAGGAAAAAUAAGAAGAAAAGAGAAGAAAAAGAAGAAAGAAGAGGAGCAAAAGAAAAUAAAAAGUGAAUUAAAUGAUAGAUGAACAGUAGGAAGGAAGAAAGUAGAGGGAAAAUAGAAAAAGAAAAAGGAAAAAGGAAGAAAACAAGAAAACACGAAAAAUAGUAUAAUCAUUAUAUACUAUAUUUUCUUGUAUAUGAGAGUCCAGCAGAACCUGAGGCCUCAUUUUUUUAGACAAUGAUCACUUCAGCUCCAAAAAUUACAGACAUUAUAGUAACAAGUAUAGUAUGUGAUAUCUUAGUUUCAUCAUAUGAAUAGCUCUUUCCUACUGGAUCAACUAUUCUCCAGAUCCAUAAUCCUAUGUGUUAUUAACAUAUUUAACAUGAUAUAAAUUAAAAACCACAAGUCUUACCGAAGAAAGAGUGCCCCGAAGGUACUGUUCAUGAGUUAUUCCUACACUAUCCAACUAGAGAAAAAAAAAAGGCUCCCCAAAUAACUUGAUGUGCUUAUUCGGAUUUAGGACCCAUAUAUGACAUAAAAUCAUGCAUUGAUUUGAUGUUAGAUCCAUACUGCCAUAGUGACAUCUAGUCUUCAUGAUAGUGAUAUCAGAUGCUAUGAUCAGAGGCAAAACUGUGAGGUUCUUACCUUUAAAGAAUUUGUUCGGUGGUAACGGCAGGGUAAAUAAUGACUUGAUAAACUAUCUGCAACAUUGUUCACAUCCCAUAUGGGUCUAACAGUACAUUGUGCUUGUUGAAAAUGAUUUAACAUUUUUUUCAACCUCUAUUUGUAGUAAUCAACAAUACAUGGGGUGAAAAAGUUACAGAGUUCAUAAGGAAAAAAAAAAUCCAAAAGAAAGAAGCAACAUGGGACAAGAAGAGAAGUAAUAGAUCAACCACCUGAUCAUAAUCAAUAUAUCCAGUGCUCUCAUCCAGCCUAUAUGGCAUUGUUUCAAAGAAUAUAGAUACUGCAGAGAUCUUCUUUGUAUCAGUCUGCAUAAAUAAAACAGACAGUAUAAGUAGAAGCAGAUCCUGAAAAAUAUUAUCAUACAGAAAAAUUAGUUCAUACUGUUUGACAAAGUGAUGGAAUGGUCAGAUGGAAUUUAGCACCUAAGAAUUAUGACCUAUACUCAGAGCUUCGAUUUUUUUUCGAAAAGGAAGCCCUGCAAUAGCUGUGGUAAGUUGUACCUAGGUAUUCCACACUGCUAGAAGCUUUAACAAUCCAUGGCAUGAACCUAAUGAAUGUUAGUGAAACUUCUAUGAUAUAUAAAGAAACUAUUUUGUCCAGUUUUCAACUUAACUGAACUUCCAAAUCAAAUCAGUAACCCCUCAAAAUUUUCAACAGUGUGUUACCAAUCUAGUAUAUGUAGAAUAUCUUAAGACCAUGAGCCAAGUCUUGCCUGCAUUUUAAAUGCAGCUUAAGUUAUCAGGAGAUUUACCGGGUUGCAACAUCCAUGAAAUAGUUUCAGCAUACACAGGCUGCACCAAAUCCAGGUCAUUCUUGACACCAGACUUCCGCAUAAAAACAUAGAUAACAAAGGAUAUUUGUUGAACUAUUCUUGUUAAUACAAUUUAAUUACAAGAAAAAGUAACGCAUAAAGGAAGUCUGAAAUCAUGUCAUUCUUAGCUUUAUACAAAUCCAUAUCUAACGACCCAGUAAGUAAAGGGGAAAAGGGUAUAACUAAACAAUUACCCUCAUGGAAAUAUAUGAAGAAAAAAGAAAUAAAAAGUACAUCUGCGAAAAAUAACCAUAAGUCAACAACAGGCAGUAUACUAUGCUUUAAUAUUGGUAGAUGAUAGCUAGUACAGUAUUCUACAAUCAAAUGUCAGAUUAAAAAAAAGUGCAAGUAUUAAUGCUACAUGGGGUAUCAAGUUCAUUGUUGGAGAAGUACAUCGAUCUUCCAGUGUAUAUAGUAAAGUUUGGCAUCAUAGAAGACCAAGUAUGAAUGGGAUAUGUUGCUAAUACAUAUCCUACAUGGAUUCGAUAAGCACAUGGUAUUCCAUGUAAUACUGUCUUCUAUCCUGGAACAGAAUCAAUAGUAAAAAUGAUAAGAAAAAUACAUAUAUAUGCAGAUAGACUGCCCAAAAACAGAGGUUGGCAACUGACCCGAUAACAAAUUAAAUGCAAAUCCAUAUGAACUUAUGCAAUGGAAUAAUCAAAUUCCAAAAUAGCAGGUAGAUUCAAAGGAGAGGCAGACUUCGAACUGGGGGAAAAAUAUAUUAGCUAACCUGGUAACCAUGAGAAAGAUGUCCACCAUGGGGCAGAUCAAGAGCCAUGAUUCUCUCAUGUGGCUUUAAAAGUGCAGUAUAUACUUGAAAGUUAGAAGGUGACCCAGACAAUGACUGUACAUUCACUGCAAAACGCACAGGCAGUAUUAAGCCAUUGAAGGAAGAGGCUAAUUAAUUAAAUGUUACCAGAAAAUGCUCUCAGAUAAAUAUGAUAGUCAUGCAUCUUAAGUAUUAUAAUGUGAAAGUCCUGACGUGGCCAUGCUUGAGGAUGACUUUGUCCUCAGCUAUAAUCAAGACCAAUCAUCCAAUGGGCAUGAUGAACACCCAGACUUCUUUGUUCUUCUUGUUACUCUUGCAGGCCGGGAUAAACAAACCAAAGGCUCUGGGACUAAGCACAAUGUCAGUGCAUGUGAAUCAUGCGUGUGGAGACCAAAACAAUCACAGGAUAUUAAACACUUCUUUAUCAGAAUUACUGUGCACAAUGUACAAUGACAAGUUAUAGGAGUUUAUAACUAAACACCAUGAUGCCAAUUGCUACACAUAAAUAUUUAUUGGUAGUUCUGUGCUUUGGCACAAGGCUAGUCAACUUGACUUACUAAAAGAUAGUAAAGAUCCAAAAACUAAGGAAGCCUUAAUCUAAGCGAAGCAUGGAACCAUCACAUGGCUAUAAGCAUUGAACUGUUAGAUAAAGGUAAAUUAGGAAAUAAAAUUUAAUUUUGCAUUACAAGAAUAGUUCGGCUUUUUCAUAGCUAGUGCUUAAUUGACAUUGAAAUGCUAGCAGAAUUGCACAAAGGGAACAAGCAAAAACAGAUUCAUCUUAUAGUGAAGAAGAAAUGACACUUUGUAAAGGAACAGAAUAUAUUCAUGCAAGUCAUGAAUCAUAUGAUGAAAUAAUGAUGAUAGCUGCCAUGAAAAAUGCUAGAUAUGGACCUAUAAUUAAUGAUGAUGAUGAUCCUUAAUGUAGAAUUUAUUAAAUAAUGUAAGAAUCAAGGAUAAUGCACAUGAUACCUCCCCAUUUCGAAGGAUCCAGACCAAAAGCUUCCAAGGCACGCUUUUGACACAACGAUUCAGCCAUGUCAAUGUAUCUGGAAACGAAGCAUGAAAUCAUCAGACAUGAAUGCACACGCUCAAAUAGAUGUGGCAUUUUGUUUUCCAAUAUUUUUUAUGUAUUAACAAAGACACAAAAACUGCUAACAGUGAGAUAGCAUUCUCGAGAAGAAGAGCAAGCAGGUCUUACUCGUUGCCACCAUAGUAUCUUGCACCAGGAUAACCCUCGCUGUAUUUGUUAAUCAUGACAGAGCCUACUGCUUGCAUGACCGACACGGAUGUGAAAUUCUCCGAUGGUAUAAGUUCAAGUCCCUUCCAUCACAUUCCAAAUCAUUUGCCAUAAGAUUCACAGCUAAAUCGGGCAUAGAAAUCACAGAAAACAAGAUACAUAAAUUCACAAAUUACUAAGAAUCAUUCUUAUACGGCAGUGUCAUGUGAGCCAACGCGCCACCGAUUGGCAAGACAAAUUUUGCAUCUAAAUGCGCGACCUUUCCGAUUGCGUCAGAAGCUGAGAGAAAGAGAAAACAGAGGGAGGAACCAACGGCCAAGAGGGUACCUUCCACUGCCUCGCCUUCUCGAGCUCGAUGAUUUCCGCGAUCUCCGGAUCGACGACCUCCAGCGGAGCAUUGAGCUGCUUCGUCCACUGAAAUCCACAAAAACCAGCAUCAAGAAACGCUCAAAAGAUUCUCGUAUCCACCAACCCCCAUCGAACCAGCGCACAAAGAACGCACCGUGACGCAAGAUCUCUCCUUCCCGUAGGCGGCUUCGCUCGGCAACGAAGACUGCAUAACACACGGAGAUCAAGGAAGAGUAGGAGAAUCAACAAUGGUGAUCCAAAGAUCCGAUCUUCAUCGGUAAUAAAAAAGCCAAAAGGACGAGCUUUAGUUGGGGAAUCUCGGAUCGGCGGGGAAGUGCGCUUACCAUGGAGCAGAGGGAGCCGCGCGCGAAAGGGUGACGCCUGACAGCGGCGGAGGUGGAGGAGUUGAGCCUGCGUAGCGCCGUCGCCAUUGCCAUCUCGGCCUCGGGGGGUGCACCCGAAUCGGAGAUCUCGGGUGGAGAGAGAGAGAGAGAGAGGGUUGGGGGUUUUGGUUGGUGGAACAGCAGUUUUUAUACGACCAACUAAAGUGGUCGAUGAUGACGACACCAAAAUGGGAAGUAGGUGAUGACAGAGAUUGAUUGAUCCAACGGUGGAUCUGACUCUGACUGAACUUGCAGUGGAUCUGCUCCUAAGCAAUGAACAUAAAAGCCACUUGGCUAACUACAAUCACAAUUUCUUUCCUUUUUUAUUUUUUUCUUAAUUUUUAUUAUUAUCAAUUUUCCAAUAAACUUUUAGGAAAAUCACCAUACAUUAUGUAAUUCUAAAUUCAAAUUGAACUUAAGAAAAUCAUUUUAAAUGAGAUUAUGUAAUCUUUGGACUUUUGAGUAUAUGAGAUUAUGUAACAUUCUAAAUCUUUUCUUAUUUAAAAUCAUUUAUAAGAGUUCGAUAAAUAUGUUAUUAUUAAUUUAUAAGUAUUUAUUUUGAAUUAUUGCUUUGAGUCUAUCAUGUGAGCAUAUCGCAUCAAUCACAUUGUUUCAUUUUUUGUAUGAACAUAAACAUAAGACAUUGUAUCGUAUGAAGCUUUGUUCUAAUAAAAGAAAUUGAUUAGAGUAUUUAUUAUAAAUAUCAAAAGUUAAAGCCUUUUAUGUUUCCUCUAAAGUCGGAUUUAAUUGAUACGUGAAAUUAUCUAACAUUAGUUUUGGUACGUCAAAUCAAGAGAGUGCCCAACAUAUAUUAAACUUACACGUAAAAUUCAACAAAAUAGCAUUAGAUAUAUGAUUGAGUAUCAAAUCAAAUAAAAAUGGACACACUAAGAUAAACAAUUCUUCAAAUUAUAAUAUGAAUAAAUGUUGCGAAAGUACAGUAUACGUAAUAGAUUAAAAAUAAUAAAUGUUAAAUAUAAUAUAUUAAAAAAUUCGAUAUUAUCUUUGUUGUGAGAAUGAUAGUGAAGUGAUUUGACUAAUCUCUUUGAAUGAAUCAAUUAUAUAAAAAAUUAAAGAGGAAGAAUUAUAUUGAUAUUUGAAUGAAUCAAUUAUAGUUGUAUAUGAAUAUAUUUAUAUAGUCUAAAAAAAUCUCAAAAGUCAUCCUGAAAGGAUAUUAUCCCAAUGGUAUAUAGUAUGACUACUAAUUAUAUGUUGCAUAAAUUUUUUAGCUUUUAAAAAUAUUUUCAACAUGAGUAAACUAGUGAGUUUUGUGUUGGACUGCAACACUAGGAAAGAGACAAAGUUCAAAUAUGUUCCUUGGCAUUCACAGACACUCUAUCCAUCUCCUACCCAUCUCAAAUGACCCUCCCAAAUAUAUNNNNNNNNNNNNNNNNNNNNNNNNNNNNNNNNNNNNNNNNNNNNNNNNNNNNNNNNNNNNNNNNNNNNNNNNNNNNNNNNNNNNNNNNNNNNNNNNNNNNNNNNNNNNNNNNNNNNNNNNNNNNNNNNNNNNNNNNNNNNNNNNNNNNNNNNNNNNNNNNNNNNNNNNNNNNNNNNNNNNNNNNNNNNNNNNNNNNNNNNNNNNNNNNNNNNNNNNNNNNNNNNNNNNNNNNNNNNNNNNNNNNNNNNNNNNNNNNNNNNNNNNNNNNNNNNNNNNNNNNNNNNNNNNNNNNNNNNNNNNNNNNNNNNNNNNNNNNNNNNNNNNNNNNNNNNNNNNNNNNNNNNNNNNNNNNNNNNNNNNNNNNNNNNNNNNNNNNNNNNNNNNNNNNNNNNNNNNNNNNNNNNNNNNNNNNNNNNNNNNNNNNNNNNNNNNNNNNNNNNNNNNNNNNNNNNNNNNNNNNNNNNNNNNNNNNNNNNNNNNNNNNNNNNNNNNNNNNNNNNNNNNNNNNNNNNNNNNNNNNNNNNNNNNNNNNNNNNNNNNNNNNNNNNNNNNNNNNNNNNNNNNNNNNNNNNNNAUAUAUAUAUAUAUAUAUAUAUAUAUCUCAUCCUCUAACAUUUAAAAUACUAUAAUGCGAGGCAUUAAAGUCUCAAACCCAUUCAUGACUACCCAAUAAGCUCUACUGUUUAUGAAAAGACUGCAUUAAGAAUUGUUCUAGUGUGAUGAUAAAGCUUGCAUCUCAUCCUUCACCCACAAGAAUCAUCAGGUGCUCGGUUCAAGAAUCACUGGGAUGCAGGCAAAGUAACAUUCAUAAUUAAGGAUUGGUUGAUGUAUAAAUACAUCUCUCAAGAUCUUACUCUAUGGUUGGGAAGAAACACACUUGAAAAUUUUCUACUUGAUCUGGAAAAUCUGAAAACAAAACCUUAAAUUUAUGUGAGAUCAAAUAAAAAACACUGGAUUUGCGAUUUUUGUUCAACAUUACCUUUGUUUCUUUUCUUCUCAAAUCACACUUCUCAUAGUAGGUUUUUUAUUGCUAAGGUAAAUGACACCUAUGAACUGCAUGUCACAAGAAAUUUAAGACAAUAAGCAUUGUAAAUUCACUCACACCUAUAUCUGAAUGAUUGUCUGACAUUAGUUUCACUGUGUACAGAUAAUUCAAAUCUUCAUCCCAAAAUUUAAAUCUCAGGUUAACCAAAAUCUACUGCAAGAGAGCUGCUUAAUCAUCCUCCCUCACUGGAAUCUAUGUGAUAAGUGUAACGUUAUUAAUAAUAAUUUUCAUGUACCGGUUUGCCUUUACUCGAUUUCCUACCUGUCUCAGUAUUUACUGAGUGGUUCUCGAAUGAGCAGUGCCUCGUGCGGGUUUCUUUUUGUGUGGGCGGUUUGGCGCAUUCUCUCACCCCAAUCGUCCACGUGGGCCACCUUAUCUUAUGAUGAUCAUCAGAUGUAGAUCGGACGGCUGAUGCUGGCCGACAGCGAACCCUUGCUGUUUUGGGUUUCACAGCACCCGUCGCGAGGGUGAAAACACCGCCCGCACAGCUGUCCCCAUGUUCCGACGGGUGGGGGCCCAUCGAACGGCUCGGAUCGACAGCUGCUCGCUUUCCGCCGUCCGAUCCUCCUACCCCCCACGUUCUGGCCAGCUCACGCCCUGAAACGGACACGGAACGCCAACACAUACCUACGUUCUCCCGGUACCUCGCUGGUCGUCGCCGGGCCCGUCUCUCGCUCAGUCAUCGGACUGGUGCGCAGUUAGGUACACGACGAAAAGGUAGCGAAGAACUGACUCGCAUAAAACCUUCUGCUACUCGAAGUGCCACGUCAGCAGAAAAGAACAAUUCGCCGCCGGUCCACCGUACGUUAUCCUGCUCCAGAGAAUGUGGAUAGACGACUUCACCCUCACCGCAGAGUCUCCGUCGACGUACUUUUCUUUACGCAAGGCCGGGCCAAAGACAAAGGGUAUAUUAGUCAUGAAGUAGUGGCAUUCUGGUAAAAUGGAUCCUCACCUCGGUUUAGUUCGGGUCGUCCUUGUCCUCAGGUUGUCUCGUUACACAGGCGGCGGAGACGAGGGCGGAUCGGAGACGAGCGGCGAUGCAGACUAGGUGUUAGGAGGCGCAGGUACCACGAUUUGGACGCAGGAAUCUGUCGUCCUCUUCGGUAGGUAGGGCCUUGGGCGCUCGGUCUGGAGCCCAGCGUUUCGAUCUCUUCGGGAGGCUUUGGAUCAUGGCCGCCCUCCCUCGUUUCGCGGAUCGCCUGUGGGGUCUCACUCCGUUGUUUUGAACUCAGACUUCUAGCUCUUUAGGUAUACUUUUCUGUUCUUGAUCUAUUUGUGUUUUUGUUUGUUCCCGUUUUGGGAGUUUCCGAUGUGGGAUUUGGAUGAUGAGUCUUGAACUCGAUGCUGCAAAUGUGGAUCUCUAGUUGUAAUGAGAAGCCUUCAUAGAUCUUUGAGAAUGUACGUGUUUGCCUUUGUCUUCACUGUCAUCUUUGGUCUAAUUCAGUUGGAUUAGCUUGAAACACUGGAUGAUCUAUUGUUUACAAUCACCAGCAAUUGAAGUAGGUUAAAUGACGUCAAUUUUAGGCGUGCUUUUUCAGAUUUGUAGAGUUAAUCUGGUAGAGCCAAAUUUGAGGGGAAAAAUGACCUUUUUUAAGUGAUUAUUGUAGACUUCAGCAUCUAGGUGGUCGUGGAUUUCUACUAUAAGAUGGAAUCUCAUAAUGGAGUUGAACUGGAGUUGGAAAAAGAAACUCUGGAGAAAGAUUCAGUGGCCAAUGGAUGUGGGCCAAAUAUGGAGAAUGAAGUUGGCGGCGGCGGCACUGAUGCCGUGCAAACCGAAGAUGGUUCUCUGGAUAAACCAGAAAGGGAAGUUGUUGACUUUCCCGGAGAGGAUAAUGAAAGUUCUUUAGCUGCUACGGAAAUCAAAGCUUCCAAUCUCCCAAAGGUAUGGGUUUGAUUUGCCUUUUGCAUGCUGUUUCUCUAUACUCUAGGGCAUAGUGGACUAUGAUUUAACACGAUCCUUAUGUGUCUAGACUUCGGGAUCUUAUGGAGGCAACCGAUGGAAGAAAGCACAGAAAGAUCAAGGUGGUCAGAAUGGUCAUUCAAAUGAAUUUCGGAAAAAAAAACCUGUUCUUUCACCGAAUCUCUCAUUUCCUUCCAAAGGUAAUGUUGGCACCAAUCUGAGGAAGAGCACCACAGUUACGUGGCUGCCUAAAGAUGCAUAAUCAAUUAUAAAAUGGUUUGAUCAAUUUUCUAAAUAAAUUUAUUUAUCCUUUGAUGAGGCCAUUCUCUUUACAGGCACUCUUCCUGCUAAGCAAUCUUCCUUGGCUGCUGCAACUAGCACUCGUAAAUCAUUAGUAAGUCUCUUGUGGCUUAGCUAAUUGUAUGGUAUUGUUUGCUAAACAUUUAAGUAUUUGUUUGAUACCAGUCCACAAAGCCUGGCUCAGUGGAUGCAGCUGCUAAAGAUACUUCUGAAGAAAGUGGAAUGUAAGCUUUGUAUAUUUUUCAAGUUCUGUUGUUUCUGUUUUCCUUAGCCAUCUCUCAUUUAUGUGUAUGUUUAAUUCCUUCACAAAUUCCUCAUAGUACACGGGCAAUGAUGGUUAUGCAUUUUUUUUAAAUAUUCAACAUAAUGAGAAUAUAUCAAUAAAGCAUUUUAAAGUGACAUGCAUCUGCUCUGUGUUGUAAUCAGAUAAAUACCAGACAAUGAUGACAUAUUGUUUCCAUUUUGUUGCAUAUUAUACCAUUGGGCCAUCUUAUGAUGGGUUGUUUCUUGCACAAUCAGACUGUUUUCCCUGUUGAGCAGUUUUCAUUUGGGCUGCAAGAACUGGUACAUUGUCAUAUCAUAAUAUGUCAAGUGGUAAAUAGUUACAUGACCCCAAGCCUUGUGUUUCGGGUUAAAAAUGAUUAUGAAUCCCAUUCCACUAUGUUGUGCAGCUUUGACUUUCUCAUUAUGUGUUGUAUGUUCGUGGCAUGUCAGUGGUUCCACUCCAGGUGCAAGAAGCAGUAUCUCUGGUUUUAAUUUCAGCUUGGAUGAGCGUGCUGAGAAACGUAAGGAGGUUAGUUAAUAAUUUGUCUUCUGUCUUCUCCUAAAAUCUCCCUUCAUCUUUUCCUAACUUGGAAAAUAUAUACAAUAUUUUCUCAGUUUUUUAUGAAGCUUGAGGAGAAGAAUCAUGCAAAGGAAGUAGAAAAAACUAAUUUGCAAGUAAAAUCUAAGGUAACAUCUUUAUGAAAUUCAAAAUUUUCUUUCUUCCAAGAAAUUAUUUCUGCAGAUCUUUCUCCGUUGAGCUAAGUUCUGUAUCAAGUUAUAUAAUACAGGAAAGUCAAGAGGCUGAGAUCCGAAAGCUGAGGAAGAGCUUGACCUUUAAGGCAACACCAAUGCCAAGCUUUUAUCAAGAACCUGGUCCUCCAAAAGUUGAACUGAAGAAGGUAGCAGUUGUUCUAUCUACUAUUUAUGUCUGAAGUGCAACCAUAGUUUCAUGAUCUUGUGAAAGUAGGAAUGUCAUAAUCUUUUAUGGAUACUUGUGCAAAAAUCUACAACAAGAACUAGGCUAAUUUAACUACUCAACCCUCGAUGACUCAGUCAUUUAGGAGUUCAUGGAGAUAUAUACUAGCUUCAGAAUUUAAGUGGCAUUCUUAUUUUUGCUUAAGUAAUUGAAAUUUCAAGCAGUGUCUCCCUCCCGCUACUAGCUUCUCUUUUUCUUCUAAAAAAAGAAAAAGGCAUUGCACCCUUGUUAUUUAAGGUUGGGGUAAAUUUUGAGUUCCAGUAUAUCAGUUUUCUUCUGUAAGUAUUUGCUUCCCUACAGCUUAUUCAUGGAAAUGUACUCAAAACCUCAAAAAAGGCAAUGCACCCAAAACUCAAGAAGGCACGUCAUUCAUUUGAAAAAAGUAUUUUUGUACAAGCAUCUUGUAACUGUUGAUACAUUUGUUGAAGAAAUACUCAUGAGGAUCUUAUACCAUUUGAAUAUUGAACUGAGAUGAAUAUCUUUAUUUCCCUAAGAAACAAAUUUGCAGUUUUAACUUAGUUAAAGUUAUCAAUGACUAAAGCUCACUUGAAAGUCAGAUAAUAUGUAGGCAUUGUAGCAUCAUACCACAUUAUUGGCAUAUUGAGAAAGUACAGAGAGCAUUAUAGCAGUAAAUUGUAGAUGAGAUACUGAGCAUUAUGCACAUAGCUAGGCAUGUCACAUAGCUGAGAUGCUUUAUCUCACACUUUGGCUUUUGAUUCUAUUUGAUGGUUUAGUUAAGUAAAUUGAGAUAUGAAGUUCCUUGACAAUAUCACUGAUAACCAUAGAAGCUGUGCUAACUUAUUCUGAGAAGCUUUGAAAUGUAGCUCAAGGAGAUGGAAUUACAUAAAGAACAAUUUCAGUAUUUCACAUAUUUCUUGCAAGUUGCAAUUCAAUAUUUAUUUGUUAGGAUUUAUGUUACUUUUGGUUUUACUGGCGAACUGUUAAGCUUGGGCUAAAAUAUAUGUUUAAUGUUUAUUAGUUAUUACACUAGUUAAUGCAUACAAAGUUAGUAAUUCUUACUACAUACGCAGACAAAUUUUUUUUGGCAUGGUCAGCUGAAUUUGUUAGGCACUCACCAAAUCACUGCUGACAAAUUUCUAAUCCUACUAUGUCGGGAUAUGAACAUUGAUUGUCAAGUAGAAAUUACUAUGCCAAACAUCCCAACCAUGUUGUAUUACUCACUACAGAAUUUGUGAUGAGGAACAUAAAUUUGGACUACAGGAAGUAUUUUUUUUUCUCCUUCACUUCUUGCACUAGAGUGGCUAAUGUGAUGGUCACAAAUUGUCUGACUCAUCUGAUUGAGGUGGUCUAAAAACAGGCACAUGCAGUUCUAGAGGUCAGACGUCUUUUUCAAAAAAAUUGGUUUACUCAAGAAUCUUUUCACUGCAACUCAAUCUAAAUUAACUGUCAUGUUUAUAUGUAAUUAAAUACUUAUUAAACAAAAGAUAAUCUGUGGCACAUUUCAGGAUUGACACUUCCUUUGAAAAUUGUUGCACUCUUUAAUGUCUCACUGCUUCAUACUCUGAGUCACUAGGCUAAUUUGCCAUGGACACGAAGGUACUGUCGUAUUUUCUUUGUUUUGUAUCUCCAAUUCGAAGAUUUAGCCUAAAGUAUUUAUAAAUUUUCAUGACAUUCAAUUUGAUUGGGUGGUUGGAAUUUUGAACGUAAUCCAGUGGGUACUAUUUCAAUAUAUUUAUUAGUCAUUUGAUGUAACUGAUCCUUUUGUGCAACUUCAGUAGAUCAGUAGCAAAUGCAGAAUAUGAUGGAAAUUCCUUUUCUUUUAUGAUAUUUAUACAAUUUCUUUUCCCUUGGUAUUCUGUUUUUCCACAUCAUUAUGAUGAUAACCAUGUUUAAAUAAAGUUUACCUUCACUAGAAAAGAAACUGUACAACCGAUCUGAUGAUCUUGUAGCAGAUACCACCAACACGUGCUAAGUCGCCAAAGCUUGGUCGACGCAAGGUACCUUCCGCCGUAACAGAUAAUCCUUCAGAAGGUAGCAUCUCAUGUGAGAGCCCACGCCCUGCUCCCUCCUCUAGCAAGCCAAAUGAAGCUGUGACAUCCAUUAAAGGGAGCUCAACUUCAAAGAACCCUACAAAGAAAUCACUCUCAAAGCUUCCGUCGCAGGAAUCGAAAACUUCAACACCUGACGUGAAAUCAGCUGCCACAAAACGGAAAGUGUCAAACAUGAAGGCCAAACUUGAGAAAGCUAAAGUGGAAGCGAGUGAUAACAAACUGAUUGAAGUUGCCCCUGAAGCUAGCACAGAAGUGGAACCAGUCCUUGAUAACAGAGUCGGGGAAGAUAACCCUGUUCUUAACCCUUCCGACCCUGUAAUUGCUUCUCUGGAAGAACCAGCGCAGGGAUAAAAAGGGUUGGGCCUCCUAUCCUAUGUAUCCCCUUUGUGCCAAUUUACGAGUAGCAGUGUGUUUGCUGCUUGGUGAGUAUGAUGCUGUUUCAUGGUGCUCAUUCCAUUGUUUCCCAAGGAGACAUUGGUCUAUUGGACUUUAUUUUGGUGAUGUAUAUUAUUCAUUGUCUUUGCCGUCAGAUUAAUUUUGCAUUGUAAAAAGGCCUGCGUGUCAUGGAUUUGGACUCAUGAUCUGAAUGAUAAGGCCAUUAUCUGAUGAAAAAGGAGCUAGUCUCUUUGUCCAUGCAGGAGUUCCCACUAUACUGCAGGUCAUCUGACUGGGUUACGUACCAUUGACAUAACUACAAGGCACCGAUCGACAUGCUAUUAUUCUCUUUGUUUCACAAAGGACUUGCUGACUUGAACUUGGCAAGACUGGAACACCAAGGACAUGUUUCCAUGUAUUGCUCAUCCAAGUCCCCUUUUUUAUUCAUCUUCUCUCAGGUCUUCUUCCAGGGAUCAAAGAGAACUUAAAUUGUUAUAGCAAAUGGCUGUUAUAGCAAACUUAAAUUAUCCAUUUUACAUCAUGAUUACGUUUGAAUGUAAUAAACACAUGAUUACGUUUGAAUGUAAUAAACAUUCAUUGUGAUCAUCAAAAAUUGCUACACGUACAAGCUUAAGGCUAUGCCAAAAGAGAAGUUCGACUUUGAAUUGUAGGGCUUUACCCUGGGUUAGAGGGAGCCCUUCCAGAAAUUCUCGAUGGCGCAGGGAUAAACCCCGGCCAAAGAGGGGGUUUGGAAAUAGUUUUCAACCAGCAAUUGUCGCGCCUCGGUUAUAACCUCACUAGCUGCGACAUUGCCCCAAGCGCAAAGAUGCCUUACUCAUUUCACCAUCCCCUACUCUUAUGGAGGGGCUCACUCGCUUUCCCUCCUCCGUCAACGAUGUGGGACUAAACUCUCUCUGUUCUUCUUUCUGCCGGUUCACGCAUCGAGCUCACUGUUCAUGUUUAUUUCUUGUUGCAAUUCCACAAACGCCAGUUGUGCAUCUAUGAAUACUGUCCAGUGGCCGUCGAGACUCUGCAGUCGUCGUCGAAACAGGAAGUUCCAUCGAUUUACGCUUCAAUUCGACCACCGACCAAGUUGUGCAAGGGCCAAUCUGCAGUCGUCGCCGAAGCAGCAGAUCGCCUCGCACUACGCCGACGUCUCCCUAGCGGACUCCGCGAACCGCGCUCUCCUAUUCUCUGGCUCCAGUUGGACCCGGCGGACUACGUGGGAUGAAACAUCCGCCGCUGCCUUCGUCGAACGGGGAGGUUGGGCCGUUCUCCCUCGGAUCGCCAUUGGCGGUCUGACGGCAGCAACCAAACGCUAUAAUGACGACGGUAAGACGUCAUAUAUUUUAGCUUCCCCUCUCCACUUCUCUGACAACCAAAGCUGUGCAGGCUCUCCGGGAGGGUGCGCGCGAAGAGAAGCAUCAGAGGAGAACGGAGGCCAUCAUUUCUCUCCGGCGCCAGAGUCCGGUCGGCGAGGCGGUAGCGACCUCGCGGCUCCGGCAACCAGAAGUAACGUUUCCCUUCUCUUCUUUCAUUCAAUCACAGAGAAAUAGAAAUUGAAACGCCACAAUUAGCGAAAGGGAAGAAGACAGGGGAUCAGUGCGGAUCUCGCCAGGCGAACUAGUUGACCGAGUCACUGAGCCGGACUCGCCUGCCGAAACGUCAGGGUGAGGCGACCGAGUCCGACUCUCCUCCCUUGGCGACUCGGACCCGUGCGUGACUCGCGUCAUAGGUAGUUAACUGAAAAGGAUUAAAUAAUAAUAAUAAUAAUAAUAAUUUAUUAUUAUUAUUUCUGCAAAAGGAUUAAUAUAAAUUGAUAUGUUUUCUGAUUCUUUAAGCUACAACACGAUAGAUUGUUGCUAGAUUGACUUCUAAUUAUCCACUGCACGUAGCUUAAUAUUUCCAUCUUUGCAAGAUUUUCAUAUCCUUUCUUGCAGCAUGAUGACUACAAACUAUCAGAGAUGGACAUAGUAACAGGCUCCACAUACAUCUUUCUCAUGCAGCUUGGCAGGUAGUAUCUAACCUUCUCUAGUUUGCCUUGAUUAGUGGUCGAGAUUUCGCUUGAGAUCAAUUUGGCAGCUUCAUUCUUCUUAGGAAAACAUAUGCCAUGAUUCGGUAGGUAAGCACCAUGACUGUCAGAGCUGUGAUCUCCUUAACACCAUUGUCGAGGUGGGUGACAUUUAGAGAGGAUGGUACAUGGUCAUACUGCACCUUGAGUAGGAGCCUGUAAGUGUGGUAGUUGAAAGAUACAUAGCGCAGCCAUGAAAUGAAGACAGGAACUCUCUGCAACAUUGACAGGAGCAACAUAUUAGACAUUCUGUCCAGUAUACCUGGCUGUGCAUCAAUGACAUGGACAACAUAUGCAAAAACAAACUUGAUUUACUUGUUUUUUUUUAUGAUUGAUAAGUAUUUUGAUUCCUAAACCUAAAUCCUCAGUGAACCAUGUUACUUGACAAAAAAAGGAACUUAAAGUACGAAAAAAAUAUUGCACAUUAAGAUUUGAUUGUUUUAUAAAUAUCAUAUAUAUCUUAAGAUCUUAGUGGAGGAGGUGCGAUUGAAAAACAUAUUUUAUGCACCUAGGAUUUUCUGAGAGGGUGCACAAGUAGGGGUUCUGGAUUUGAGUUUGAUUUAACUCAAGAGAAAGUUUUGGUCUUUGUAUUUUAUUUUCCUCACAUUAUUUUUUGAGAGAGUACACGGAUUUUGAGCUUGGCUUAGAUUUAGCAUAAGAGAAAGUUUUAAUCUUUGUAUUUUAUUGUACUCACAUAAUGAACAAUUUUGGUUUUUAUCACCAUGGAUCUAGGCAUGAAGUGUCUCGCCAUGUAAAUCUUACAUCAAUUAAUUUUCUAAGAUUGUAUUUUACUGUUAAUUCUCUGGAUUGUUCUUUUGGAAUCAAAAUCUUUUAAUCCCAGCUUUUUGUAACUAGGUCACUAAGUAUCAAGUAGAUUAGCAAACAAUCUAUUGCUACAAUUCAAGAAUUUGCUCCUCUUGGUGUGGUGAACAAAAAUGACAAAUUUGUUUGCUUGAAGGAGGCUAGAAAAAGAAAAAAGUCUAUUUCUACUAGUUUCAAUGGAUUAGUCGUGUUAUAGAAACAUGAACAUCUACUGUAUCAUACAUUCACACUAGGAGAACGAAUCCACUACACGAGACUCCUGCCAAUGCAGGGGUUUGGAAGGGUCGACAUAUAUAGUCUUUCCUCCAUAUUUAGAGACUAAUCUCUUAGGUCGUAAGUGAGCAACCACACUGAUAAAAUUUAUGUAUCCGAUACUCUGUUAUUUUACAUUGUAUUCAGUAAAUUUUAAUUGGAAUCAGCUUAUAGUUUUAUAUAUUAUGCUCGGGGUUCUUAGCUCUAUAAAAUUUCCAGUGAAAUGCAAUUAUUUUCUAGCCUGUUAGCUUGAGAUUAUAGUAUGCAACAAGCAAAUUAAUUGUUGGUGAGAUAUUGUAUUUCAAUUUCUGUACAAGUCUUGCUUAUUCUGAUUGAUUUUUCCAAUGUCUGAAAGAACCUUGCUUUGAGCAUUUCUGCAGUUGCAUAGCCUAAUACCUACAAUCUCACUGUUCUGAUUAAUAUUUCAAAUGCUCGAAAGAAACUUGCUUUUAGUAUUUGUCAAUUUACAUAGCUUUAUACCAAUUGAUAUUACUAUGCAAUGAUAAGAGAAAGGAUGUUUCCUAAUGUGUAUCAAAGAAGAAAACUCUUCAUCACUAAUUAUAAUUAGGUAUACCUGAUUAUAUCACCUAUUGAUCUUACUUUUCAUCCUUUAAGAAUUUGUUAAAUUACAUACUUAAUACCAGUUGAUCUCACUGUGAUGAUGACAGAAAGGAUGUUUUCUAAUAUGUACUAAAGAAGGAAACCUUUCACUCGAUAAAAAUUGAACUAUGGUGCUUACCCGCACAAAGAAUCCACCAGCCAACAUAAAUGUCAUCACUGUCACUGAACCUAGAGUGGUUGCCUUCUUGAUGUCCAUCAGUGAAGCACCAAUUACCAACCCUAGACCCUGCACAUAUGCUGUUUAUUUAAGCAAAAGAAUGCAGAUAUGCUGUGUCAAGUGGUAUGCAAAUUCUUAUCCUUGCACAUACCUGAGCAGCAAUGAUACUGAGAAACACAACAAGCAUAGUGAGAAAGAAAUGCUCGAUGCUUCGUCUUAAUCCUGCCAUGAAGUAGACAAUCAACAGAAAUAUUAUUGGCAGGAUGAGGUCUAGUGGCAAAUCACUUGUUGUCCUGGCCAUGAAAUAUGCACUUAGCUUGUACAUGUCUACUGCUCUUUCCUUGGUCAACAUAGCUCUUUCUUGUGGAAAUGUGAAGAUUGCUGUGAAAACAGGGAAGAAGCCCCAGAAAACUGAAAUAAAGAACAGCAAUCCAGCCUGCAGUAUUCCAUUUCAGAUGGUAAACUGUUAUUUUCACUUAAAAAUAUAUAGCAAACUUACAUAAAGUUUAGAGUUUCCAUGUUGUAUGUAACUCUCAAUUGGUUGUUACUAGUUUACUUGUAGUAAUUAAAUACUCAUUUAAUCUCAGCAUCGGAGGCUUUGACCAAGGAACUGUGGUACUAAUGUGCUGCUUGCUCUAUUUUGAUGCAAAUGAUUUUAUUGUUCGCUUAAAGUUUUUUUGAUGAUAAUGUUAUAAUGAAUUUUUCUCAACAUUUUUUUUCAGACAUACAUGAAUAAUGAUCCAUGUAUCUACUUGGAGCAUAAUUAAGUGAAUCUAAGAGACAAAAUUAUUAAAAUAGAGAUUUCCUCCUGUGCAAGAAAUUUUAGGAUUAGAAGAUUUGCACUACUUUUAUAGUUCCAAGAAACUUGAGGAGUCAUUAAGAUGGUAAUCAAAUCUGUGAAAGCUCAACAAAUCAGAAACAUCUACAAACUGUUAAAUCACAGUUUGUAUUGAGAUUUCAACUGGAAGAUUAAUGGUAAAUUUUGUGAUUCUGUUAGCCAAAUCACAUAUGCAUCUAUACGCUGCUAUGUGCAGUCCUACUCAUAUAACUCAACAUAAAUUAGGAAUAUCAGUUGUAGUUUCAAAGAUAUAAGAAAGUUGGGAGUCAAUAAGAUAACAAUCAAAGAAACAGUGAUUGGAAGACUGGUGGUAGAAGUCUUGGUUCUGUUAGUCAAAUCAAAGAAACAGUGAUUAUUGUAUGUAUACAGAUCAAAGAAAAUUGGGUCUCAUUAAGAUAGCAAUUGAUCUAUGAAAGCUCAAAAAGGCAGAUAAAAAAUCAAAUAUCGAUUGGAAAAUUGGUGGCAAAAGCUGUAGCUCCAUUACCCAAAUCACAGAUGAACAUGUAGUAGUGUUCAGUGAUAUCUGCAUUCCUAUAUGUGUGACAUAACAUACAUGAAGGUUCUAUCUAUAGGAUACAAACACUUGACGAAACCUUUCUUACCUGAUCUUCAAGACCUCUUGUUGUGGUACUACUUGAUUUCCACCAGAGCAGACCAAGGAUCACUGCAAUUGCAAGAACUUGUGUAAUUCUCAUCCAACUCAGAUAAUCAUGUCUUCUUUCGUUUAGUCCUCUCCAGAACAGAAUGGAGUAUUGUUGCCACCAGCUUGCUCCCCAAUCUCUUUUUUGUGAUGACAGCGUGGCUUUCAGAUCUUCACUAAUAGGAAGCGGCAUCAAAAUCUUUCUCAUUUGCUUGUCAGCAACUCGAUCCUCAUAGGCCUCCACCAGGUACUAUUUCAUUAUUUGUUGCAGCAGUCAGUAAUUUGUAGGGUUUAAUUCGCCAAAAGACUAAUUAGAAAAGGCAAAAUCAUACUGCCUCCAUCAGCUAAUCUUUCUUUACUUUUUCUUCCUGAGGUUUUUUUACUUCCAAUGCUGGACAAUGUACCAGAAUUUUGUAUGGUUGGAUCACUAAUCGUUAGAAUCUUCAGCAUAAUUAUGAAAAAGAGUAUGAAUUUGGAUGUCAGCAAAAAGCUUGUUUUCUCCAAUUACUAAUACAGAGUGGUAAUGGUUCUUGGAACUGAAUACAUUUUAGGGUAAAAGAAGAAGUUUUUACCUCAUGCACAUCUUCUGGAGAUGGUUUGCCAUUUCUUGUAUUGCUUUCCGAUUCUUUUGACUGAACUUUAGACUCCAAUACUGAUGGUACCGUGACAUCAUUUAUGUUGCCACUUGCAAGAUCAAGCAGGAAUUCUGCUGGAUUCAUAGCAAUGAGAGGAGAACAUCCAAUAGAUGAGAAGUAUUUUAUAGCUUUCGAUGCUUUCCCAAAGUACAGCAAACUGCCCUUUCCAAGAAGUAUCAGUUUAUCAAAUCUAUGGAAGAGUCUGCUAGAUGGUUGAUGAAUUGUAGUCACCACAGUUUUCCCCAACUGCAUAGGUUCAAGAGAGACUUGUAGUCACCACAAUUUAUCAUAUACAUGAAUAUAUACACACACACACACACACUCUCUCUCUCUCUCUUAACUAAAAUUUUAUCUGAGCUACAUGAUUUGAGUAAUACAGUAAAGGUUACCAGUAUAAAAUCAACAUCAUGAUGAUUGAUACCUUAGCUAUACCAUGCAAAACUUGUAUUAUUCUUAGGGCUGUUGUUGAAUCAAGGCCAGAUGUGGGCUCAUCAAGAAACAGUAAAGAUGGGUUGAUUAUGAUCUCAUUUCCAAUGCACACCCUUUUCCUCUCACCACCUGAAACUCCUCUUACAAAAGGUCCUCCAAUGAUAGUAUUUUGGCACCUGCAGAAUGUUAUCAAAUUUGAGAACAAGAUCGAUUAGAUCUUCGAAAAUUCAGGCAAGUUUCCUUAUAAGAUUGGAAGUUGAAGAGCAAGUCCACUAUAGAGAUCUUUGCUCAUAUUAGGCAACUUUGAGUUAGAAUGAAGAACUCAAAUAACCAAAAAGCUACCUUUCAAGCCCCAGCUCGUAGAUGGCAUCCAUGGCCCUGUCUUCCUUCUGUUCUCUAGUCAUUGUCCUUGGGAGUCGAAGGAGAGCUGCAUAUGUUAAUGUUUCUCUCACAGUGAGAUGUGCAAAUAGAACAUCAUCCUGUGCCACGAAUCCCAUCCUGAAAAUUGACAUCAGACUUAUAGCAAUUUACCAAACUGUAAGUGCACAUGAUUCUAUUACAAGAGUGAUGACAUCUUGUUCUACACUAAGAAAUGAGAGUAGUUGAUAAUCUAUUACAAGAGUGAUGACAUCUUGUUCUACACUAAGAAAUGAACACAUGAAUUUGCUGCUGCCAUGCACAGUUCUAUCUUCACUAUCAAGUCAGCUUGUGCCAAAGCUUAACUUCUAGUUGGCUGGACUCUGGAAACAGAUUCCUAUACAUUUAGCCUCUGAUACUGCUGACGCAGGUCCUUUCCUAUGUAUGUGUUGUUAUAUAUCUAUGAGAUUGGAAUUGCUAAACAGAAUACAAUUUGAACUUGAUCAUUUACCUGCCCUUUAGAGAUUUGGUAUAUGGUUCAUCAUUAUAUGUGACAGAUCCUUGAAUGAUAUUAGCCGUAAUUCUUCCACCGAGAAGGCUAAGAAGUGUGGUUUUGCCACUGCCAGAAGGCCCCAUCAGGGCUAAAAGUUCUCCAGGUCUCACUGAACCUGUAAUUCCAUGGAGAAUUUCCUUCUCUGUAGUAGUUGUUAUUCCUUUGAGUACUACACUGUAUCUAACCUCUGUAAACUGCAAAUUUGACAAAAGGAGAUGUCAAUCAGGAUGCUCUAUGAUGUGGUUGCUAUAGAUCAGCCCUCUGUAUAUUAGUUUAGAAUUCAGAUUUACGACUCAGUGCCUCUGAGAAAGAUAUUUGAAGAAUAGCCUUGUGUUUAUGUUCCUUUACAAAGAUUCAGCAAGUAUUAGAGGGCAACUCCAGCACAAUGAUACCUUCAAAUAUAUCGGCAAAGUUGGCUCUGACAUCAGACUUUUCCUUGUUUCUUGAAUCUCCAGAUCAAUUUCUGCAGGGUAGUAAAUGAACAACAUGCAGAGUUAGACACAUCAGGCCACUUUGUACUUGUUACAAUAUUUUCAUAACAAAUGAUCUGUCCCCGGAUUGGCAUCUACUUAUGACUGCAAUGUUUUUGCGUUCGAUUAUAUCAUUUAACGGGAAUUUGCUUCAACUACAAUCAUAGUUUUACAUGCUUUAAAUAUAUGUCUUGGUUUCUACAAGAUUCAGAAACUAUGCACACACCACUGUAUAUUAUCUUUGAAUGAUCAUGUUGUUCUGAUUAUACAGCGUUACCAUUCUCAUUGUUGCCGAAAGCCGCGGUAUCAGAAACUUCAGGGAGCGCGGUGAAGCCGGUAAAGGAGUAGGAGAAGCUCAAGCUUGCACUGGAGGCGCGGCUCAGACUUGCCUCACUGCCAACAUCUUCAGAAUCCAUCUUCAUGUGUCCACUCCAUGUCUUUCUGAGGUGGUGCCCUCCUUUGAAAGACCCCAUCAACUUCUUUCCAAAGCUCAACUUUCUUGACAAGCUCGGACUGCCAUUAACAGCACUGGUUGGCACAACUUCAGUAGAGCUCAUAGUAGGUCCUCUUGUUGCUCCCAUCUCCAGCUUGUCCGACUUGGCCAUGGCAAUUCCAGGUUCUGCUGAAUCCAUCUUCGGACUCCUGAAUUAUGCCGUGUUGAGAAAUCGAAAUGACUGCAUGGAAACAUAUAGGCAAUAAGGAGGUGGAUAGAGCUAUCACAAGCAUUUACAGAAUAGACACAGGAAACAAAAAAGAAAGAAAAUUGUCACGAUAUGGAUUGGUUAUCAGAACCAAAACCAAGUGACGAAGAUGUUGAUUUCCAUUUCUGACCAGAGUUGCUUGAAGACUCGAGUACUUCAUCUCCUUGUAAAUCUAUGUUUUCCUUGGAAUUGACUUGAAACCUAGAAAAGAGACGAAAGAAGGUUUCUUCUUCCUUUUUCUCUUGAGAGAAGACUCUUUAUGAAGCAUGUAUUACAGUAAUUCCAUUUCAUGUAUAAGCUGAAUACCGAGAGCAUGGCGACCGAAAAAUCUUACCCAAACAAGCAUCAUCUCAAAGGUGUGAGAAUGCAUGCAGCAAAGAACAGUUCACAUGCUUCAUGGAAAGCUACAAAACGAUGCGAGGAAGACAAAGAAAGAACACAUGAGAAGUGAAAUCAGUCGAGCUAAAAGACACCCUUCUCAGUGAAAGGAGAGAAGGUGGGGUAGGAUACGGGCAGGAGGAGUUAGAAGCAGAUAUCGAGAGCUAGCAAAAUGACAAGGAGUGUGUGGGGUGAGGAAGAGCAGUGGACGGCCAGCUUAUUUCCACCCAACUCUCUGUCUCAUCCCUUUCGACGGACGACACCUCUCAUCCAAACCUUCACAAUGCUGCACGAUGCGGGGGACGUCGGAUAUCAACUUAAUGAAAUGAAAUGCCGCCACUGAUACUGCCACACUUCUUGUGGAAAGAAGUGAAUUUUCAUUCAAGAAUUUUGCUAGCAUCAUUACCAUCAAAAUGAGCUAUCCAUUUUGUUCCACUUUCGUUUCCUUCGUCAUGGAAAUCAUAUUAGUCCAUUUUUUCUGCUCGUGGCUUUUGGAAAUGUUUUAGCUCAACAAAAAAUAGAUGCUGAAAGAGAGUAAAAGAAUCUCUCCGUCGUUAAAGCAUGUGAUUCAUGUUUCUUUCGAAAGACACUACUUUGUUCGCUAGUGGAGAUACAUUAUAUUUGAUAAGGUCAUGUAGUCUCACAUUGAUUGAGGAGUAUGUGAACCAAAGACUCAUAAGUUUGUCAGGUCUCUCUUAUCUUUAAAAAGUAUGAGUACGCUCAUCGUACAAAACAGAUAAUUUCUCGUCCUCGUAACUAAAAGGUCCCUUAUCAAUAUUAUAUUAUGUUAAUAAAUGAAUAUGGCCAAAGAGGAAAAAAACAAAAGUAAAAAAAUGCAGAAUAAAAGGAAAAAAAAAUUGAGAUUUUGGAGCUGAAGAUUGCAUGUCGUCGUCAGCCUUUACUUUCUCUUCAUCCAUAAAUCCCGACACCAUCAGACCUCAACCUUGUUUUCCUUGUUCCGGUUCUUGUUCUUCCCGAGCGCACGAACGAAUAUGGUGGGAGGCGAAUCUGCAAGAGCAGUCAAGACAAACACAAACAUGAACAAAGGAAUCCAUUAUGCAUGCAAAAAAACAAGAAGCUCGGAUCAAUAUCAUCAGUACACAGCAAAACACUCGAUAAACACCAACAAAGGAUUCGUUUUUCUGAGUCACCCUAUCAACCAGUCUGGUGGUAUGCAUCCGAAUUCGUUUUACCUCAUAUCGAGAGUUUGAACUCUUUGCCAUAACAUAUUAUUCAUUAGUCUCACACACUUCAAUUUAUGAAUGAAUUAGGACAAGUAUAUUAACAGAAUUAUAAAUAAUAUAUAUAUAUAUAUAUAUAUAUAUAUGUUAUUCUCACUUAGUGACAUAAUUAAUGAUAUUUAUGCUUCAUAAAUAUAAUAAAUAAUAUGUUCAUUUUUUAUUUUUAAAAUUGAGAAACGUGUUUUUCAAGAAUAUCAUCCUCAAUAUUCUAUGGAAUAUUGAUUGAAAAUAUAUAAGCAUUAAUGUUUAUGUUAAGUAUAAUACUAAUAAAUAUAUAUAUAUAUAGUGACUAAAACUGAUGAUUAAAUUUUAAAUGACCUUAAGUGAAUCUCGAUACUUGAAUAAGUUUAAUCAUGAUAAACAUAAAGAAGUAUGAGUUUUAAAUAUUAUGUAUACGAGGAUAACAAGCUACUUAAGCAUAGAUAAAGUAAUAAAAAAUUAAAUGAAGAUACAAAUAAAAAAAAUACUAAAUGUUGAGAUACAUCAGUGAGAUAGAAAGAUAAGUUUAGACCAAAAGUAUCAUCUUUAUUAAGUUAAAUUAAACUUGAUUGAAGAUACUAUAACAUUAGAAUUAUAUUAGUAAAAGAAAAAAAAUUCGAAAUGAGACCCAAUGGGAUUAAAUCCAACAUAAUAUAUAAUUUGAAUUUAUCUUUGAUUUUCGGAUAUAUUUUGUAUGAAUCUCUUAUCAUUCUAAAACUUCUAAUAUGACUUUAUUCGAGAUUAGUGCUUAGACUUAUUAUUGAGGUACUCAAAAUUUCUUAUUUUCUAAGAAGGAGUUAUAUUCAAACUAAAUUGACCAUGAUUAGACAUUGUCUCUUUUACAUAUUUUAAAAAUUCUCUUAGGGUUUUAUAAAAUUUAGAAUUGAGUGAAUACCAAGGUUUAUAAAUUCAGAGAAUCCUAACCCAAUUUUAAUAAAAUAGAUCUUGGUAGUGAAUUAGGAGGAUAGUUUAGCCUUCAAAUAAUUAUGUUUUGAGUUAAAGUUUGGUGUGUAUUUAGUUCUAUAUAUCUUUUAGUUUUCUAUAAAAUUUUAUGAUAAUUUAAGAUCGAUUGCUCAGCUAGAAUAGCAAAAUAAAACUUUUUUACAUGAUAGUACAAUUGUUUGAUUUAUAGCAACUAGUUCAUUUGAUUAUAAAAUGAAUUGUUAAAAAAUUGAUAAUGGAAUCUAGAUAAUUUUUUUUGGCUAAAUAUAGUUUAUUUUAUGAAAAAUUUUAUCAAACUUUUUUUAAAAAAUAUUAUAAAUCAAUAAUUGAAGAGGUAGGGUUCUUAAUUAACGUGUCUCGUAAUCUUAUACUCAUGAUAUUAUAAGUUUCUUACUCUUUAACACAUUUGAUCAUUAAGGAACGUGAUCUUUUAUUAGCAUCAUAAGUAUAAAUUUAAUUCACUACAAAAUAGUGAUAGUAUAAAUUAUCUAUGCAUAAUGUAUUUUAAAAAGUAUGUUUCAAAUGAUCGAUGUAUGAGUUAAAUAUGAAUAUACAUACUUGAUAAGCAUAAAAAAUAUAUGAAUUAUAUAUAUAUAUAUAUAUAAUCAAAUAAUAUGAAUUAUAUAUAUAUAUAUAUAUAUAUAUAUAUAUAUAUAUAUAUAUAUAUAUAUAUAUAUAUAUAUAUAUAUUCGAGUCAAUCAAAUAAUCAAAGUCUUAAUUAGCUUGACUAGCUAACUUGUUGGAAAAAAAAUUAUAGGAUGUCAUUUCAAACCUUCAAUCUUAGUGACUGAUAUAUUACUAUAAAAUAAAUAUUUUAAUAUAUAAAUAUGAUACUAAAAUAGUAACACAUCAUAUUAAUUAGGUAAAAUUAUAUAACUAAAAAUAAAUAUGAAACCGAAUCCAAUUUAGGAGGAUUUGAGUAGAUAGAUAAAGGCAAAUUUUAUGCUAACCUAACCUACCCCUUUUCGUUUAUUUCGUAGAUAGAUAAUUGGAUUGUCUUUUAGAUGAUAAGAAUCAUGUCAUGCAAAGAUCAACAAGAUAUUGCUUCUCGUACACUACACUAUGUAAUAGUUGAGGCAAUAGUCAUUACAAGUGUAGUGGGACGACCACCGAAAGGACGACGACAAUGACAACAAUCGAUGCAAAAUUAUCACUAAAAUAAGUUAAUCGUAUAUUAAAUUUACAUAUGGAACGAUCACUACCAUUCAUAUAGUUUUCUUUCCAACCGUCGAUUUGAGUGGGUCCCAACCAAGCACACCGAUAAUUCUCCUAAAUUUUGUUAGUAAAACUAAAACCUAUAUAUUUUAAAUUCCUUCGUAUAUUAUGAUCAUUCUAUUAAUAUCUAUCCACAAACUACAAAAAAAAAAAAAAAAAAACGAUUGUAUUUUUGAAGAUGAUAAUAAAAUAGACUCAUUUACAUAAUGAUAUAUUUUUUAAAAAUAUUAAUUAAUUUAGAUAUUUUCUCGUAAGAUUUUGGACUCGAAUUUCCUAAUCUUCACCUAUCCUUUGGAAUAUAUAUAUAUAUAUAUAUAUAUAUAUAUAUAUAUAUAUAUAUAUAUAUAUAUAUAUAUAUAUUGUUUUUUAUUCCACUCACAUAUCUUAAGAAUUUGAACCCACACAUGACAUCCAUCCGAAAACUUGGAUUAAAUGAGACCUAACAUGAUUUAGCUUUUAGUUUGAAUCAAAAUAAAAUAUUUGUAAUAUUCUUAUCAUUGUAAUAUCAUCUAUAAAAUACUAACUAACGAAGAUUAAAUACACACACACAUAUAUAUAUAUAUAUACGAUUUUUUUUUGCCAUAAUUUAUUGUGCAUACAAAGGAUUACUCAUUUAUUAGAAGCCAUAAGUUACUCUUAGCGAAGCUAAGCUUUUGGUUGAUAUAAUAGAAUGUGAUCCACGAGAAAGAAGACAUUUAAAGCACAUUAAUGUAUUCACAACUAAGAUAUCAUCAUCACAUGAGCACACCAUUUCUAUGCCACCGAGAGCAUUAUUCUUUCGAGACAACGACCUUCACCUUAAUGGAGAAAGCAACCUCACAAACAUGGGAGCAAUGCGCACGAUGGAAAACUUGUCCCCGAGGACGAGCACUCAUCAAUGAUUUAGGCGACGGAGUGUGACAUGUCAAGGGGCCAAAUGUCAUCGAAUUCUCGACUCCAAUUCUCCAAAUUAUGGCUUGAAAUGAUGUUUCAUGGUUUCCAUUAAAUCAACCUUUUUCUUCUUAUAAUAAAUUGGCAGAAUUUUUCAUUCUUCGUUUGAACAUUUUAUGUACGUGCUUUUCCGCAUGUCAAGCUAUGAUUUGAACCCCAAAUUAUUAUUAGUCGUUUUUACCCAAUCAAUUGUUUCCAACAAAAUAAUAAUAAUCUUUAGCAACUUUCACGUAAGAGUAGUUCACAUAUCACUACAAUUUCUACAAGUUGAUAUGUACUAAUAAUGUCUAAAGAAGAAGAAGAAGAAGAAGAAGAAGAAGAAGAAGAAGAGGAAGGGUUGAUGGAGUAAGAAGGAAGAAAGAUGAGGAGACAGGUGGAAAAAGAUGAGAGAGAACACAUGGAAAAAUGAGAGAAGACAAAGGAGGAAGAGGACAAAGAGAAUAAGGAGGAAGGGUGCACGUCGACGACAUACUACGAGCUAUCGUACGGAACAGUAUACUUCGGUAUAUCAAAUAAGUACAUUUUAAUACUGAAUUCAAACUUAACUUUGACUGUAUAAACCGCUGUCAUGUGAGAUGGCAAAACACCAAUAUGCCAAAAAGUUCUCACGAGAAGAGAUGAUGUCUUCAUGUGGAGCUCUUGAGGUUCUAAGAACAAGAACAGCUUCACAACGAGCAGAAAUGCAAGACAGGAAAACACGAGCGAGAUCGAUAGGGGUCCGUGCAAAUCACAAAACCAAAUUUUGAGCAGUUGAAUGAGCGACCCAUCACUGUGAUGAAUCUGAAUUAAUCAAACAAUCCAUCAGUUCUAACAGGUGGUAAUUACUUCAUCAAGAUACAUCUGAACACAGCUUAACUCAUGUUCUAGCUUUUCGGACACAAUCCCUGAGCAAACUCCUUCGUCGGAGAUCACCAUUGCACUUCUGUUGUUCUCCAGGAACUGAUUCAAGUUGUGUGUGGCCAAAUCUCUCUUGGAUUUUAUCUCCUCCAGUUUUGUCGAUUCCUGUUGCAUUGUUUCCUGGCACAGCUGAAUCUCACCUUCUUUUAAGUCCAGCACAAAUAUACACUCCUGGAACUCAAGUAACAGGUUUGCCAGCUCAGCCUUUCCGGCCUCUCUCAUCUCUGAAAGCAUGUUCUUCUCUUCCAUCACCUGUUGCAACCCAACUUCUGCUUCCUGCAGUGAGAGCAGUCCAGUAUUUAUCCCAUUUUCGUAGCUCUUCAUCUUAGUAUCGAUUGCAUCAAUUUUCUUCAUGAAGCUUGCGAUUUCUUUUUGUACAACAGCCAACUGUUCCUGUAACUUUUUCAUCUCCACCGACAGCUUGCUUCGCUCCUCCUCACACUUUAGCAGUUCAGAUGCUUUACCAAAACUCAAGUUCUUUUGCACCGGGACGACGUCGACCGUAUCCAUAUUAUCAAUCGCAAACAGCACUCGUUCGGUCUUCUUCCUUUGAGUUUCUGAAUCAUGGAGCUUAGACUUUAAACAAUCUAUGUUGCAUCUCAACUGAGAUUCGGAAUGUUGAGCCUUCGACAGUGCAGUGCUAGUUUCAUCCUUGCGAGUUUGAAGACAUCUUAGUUCUUCUUUCUUUUGCUCCAAAUGUUCAAAGCACACGUUCAGCCUUGUUCUAGCCCGGGUUUCUCUCUGUUCCCAAUAGUGUGCCUCAGAAGAAAAACUCCCAAGUGCAAGUUUCAGAGCCAGAAACUUCUUGUCCAAGACUGUCUUUCUUUCCUGUGUCUGGGACAGAACACGCUUGAGUUCCUCGAUCUCUUGUUCUUUUAACUGAAUGCCAGGCUCUACUUCUUCAACAUUUUCUGUAAGCUCUUUCACAUCGGUUAUGUUCUUCUCGAGUAUCCCAAAGUAUCUGAGAUCUGUCCGUACAGCAGCAAGCUUAUCUCGUACGAGCUCCAAAUUAUUUCUGACCAAAUGCUGCACUUUCUCUGGCACUUCCGCUAGAUGUUCCGUCAACUCCUCCGUCUCUUGCUUCUGGCAGCCUGUUUCUUCGUCCAUUUCAACUAGCUUUUCCGGACAUACAAUCUCUUCUUUGGUUAAGGAUAUGCUGGAUUCCAUAGAAGCCAACAUUCUUUUGAAAUCAUCCCUCUCUUUCAUGGCUUUUUCGUAUAAGCCCAUCAGUUUCUCAUUUUCUUCAUGCAUCUCAUAAAGUUGGUGCUCAAGACUUUCGAUAUCCUUCUUUCCUGAAUGGUGGAAUUCUUGGUUGAAUUCUUCAUGUCUAUUUUCAUUAAAUUCAGCCGACAUGUCAACUUGCACCAGAGACUUCUCAAAUUUGUUGAGGCUCCCUGCAUCAUUAUUACCACCUUCCGCAAUUGCAUUCUCAUAGAGUUCAAUCAGCUUAUUGUUGUCCUCAAUAAGAACACUAAACUUCAUACGCAAUUCCUCAUUCUCCUUGGCCAAUGCAAUGGCUGUUUCAUGUGCUUCAACUUCUCUCUGACUAGCAACUGCAAUUGCAUCCACCAUCGUUUUAAGUUCUAUCUGAUCAUCAGAAAGCUUGCCUGUUCCUGAAGUGAUGUCACAAUUAGCUUGUGGAAGUUCGACCCCUACGUAUGGAGCAUGAGUAGACUUCCUUUGUUCUUCUAACUGUGAGCCUAACUCAUCCACACGCCUGCAGAAUAAUCAGAUUAGCCACCAGAAAAGAAAUUCAUGGUAUUGACAAAAUUAUAACCAUUUUAAUGAAAAAGCAACAGUGAAAUGUUUCAAUAAUGUUCAUGAGAUUGCUGAAUUUUAUAUUGUAACGAUUAAGGGAUAAUAAUAAAAACAAUAAUAAUAAUAUAGUAAUAAGAAUAAUAAGCAUUCACAUUCUCAAGAUUUCAAACAAAGUUUAGCAUGGACUUCUCAGCCUGCAAAUACAAUCAACAAAAAUGUUUUCAGUACUAAACAUGAUAGCUUCCAAGAAUAUAUCAGAGUUAUUCAUAUCAGACAAGUCAGGGGAUGUCAUGCAGCACCAAUGGAACAAACCAUGUGAUGUGCCAGAUUUUGGGUACAGAAUUUAACUGGAAGUACCUUUCCAGCUUUUCUUUGGCUUCAAGACAUGACGAUAGGUUUUUACGAAGUGCUUCUAUCUCCCUCUGAUUUUGAAUAGCCUGCACAAGAUGGCCAUGUCAUGAAAAGAUAUGUUUACCAUAUCAAAAUAAUUAAUAGGUAAAUUUUUGGAACAAAAGAAUUAAAAAUAAAAAUAUUGCUGCUGUCCUCACCUGCAAAUGGAGGAACUCAUUUUCUUCAUUUCCAAAAGAGUCCCAAGAUGAUGACAGGUUCUGCUGUGAAGAAAGAUGGAAAUUUUAAAAUAAGUAGAAAUAACCAAGAUUUUCCAACUUGCACACUGAACUUGCUGAACAUAAGUCCAGCAAUUCCCAAAUCAGAAAGCAGUGAAACAAGACCGAGUUUUCUACCAAUAUGUCUAGGGACAUCUUAUGCAAGGAUAAGCCACUAUAUGCUGAUCAAGAAUUUUAAAAAUUUAGCUUUCGAACCUGAACAACAUCUGAAUCUUUUUCAUGCAUAAGUUUCCAAUCCAGAGCCUCCAAUAACUACAGGCCAUACAUGUAUGUUAAAUAAGCACAAAAAAUAAAAGGAACAAUGAUGAGCUUAACUUGAGAGAAAACAUGGAUACCUUAUCCUGCAAAACAGUUAUCUGUUCAUUCAUCAUUUCUCUUUCACCUUCUUCAACAAACAACUGCAAUCUGGGUGUCAAAUAUAUAAAAAUAAUUAUUAUUGAUAUGCAUAAGAGUUUAUUUUGAU